This 266-nucleotide ribosomal RNA is filed under the name uncultured bacterium. Its description in RNAcentral is "partial 16S ribosomal RNA". It matches the Rfam family "Bacterial small subunit ribosomal RNA", at positions 793 to 1055 of the family's 1533-position model. The record is from RNAcentral.
GUCCACGCCCUAAACGAUGAUGACUAGUUGUUGGGGGAGUUAAAUCCCUUAGUAACGCAGCUAACGCAUGAAGUCAUCCGCCUGGGGAGUACGGUCGCAAGAUUAAAACUCAAAGGAAUUGACGGGGGCCCGCACAAGCGGUGGAUGAUGUGGUUUAAUUCGAUGCAACGCGAAAAACCUUACCUACCCUUGACAUGCCAGGAACGCUCCAGAAAUGGGGCGGUGCCCGAAAGGGAACCUGGACACAGGUGCUGCAUGGCUGUCGU